Molecule: ribosomal RNA, 458 nt
Filed under: uncultured bacterium
Lineage: Bacteria
Description: partial 16S ribosomal RNA
Rfam family: Bacterial small subunit ribosomal RNA
Source: RNAcentral
CCUACGUGAGGCAGCAGUGGGGAAUAUUGCACAAUGGGGGAAACCCUGAUGCAGCGACGCCGCGUGUGUGAAGAAGUACUUCGUUACGUAAAGCUCUAUCAGCAGGGAAGAAAUACUUACCUUACGGUCAGCAGACGGUACCUGAGUAACAAGCCCCAGCUAACUACGUGCCAGCAGCCGCGGUAAUCCGUAGGGGGCAAGCGUUAAUCGGAUUUACUGGGUGUAAAGGGAGCGUAGACGGUGCGCCAAGUCUGGAGUGAAAUGCCGCGGCUUAACUGCGGAACUGCUUUGGAAACUGGCGAACUAGAGUGCGGGAGGGGGAAGCGGAAUUCCUAGUGUAGCGGUGAAAUGCGUAGAUAUUAGGAGGAACACCGGUGGCGAAGGCGGCUUACUGGACCGUAACUGACGUUGAGGCUCGAAAGCGUGGGGAGCAAACAGGAUUAGAUACCCGAGUAGUC